Molecule: non-coding RNA, 3429 nt
Organism: Nothobranchius furzeri (turquoise killifish)
Lineage: Eukaryota; Metazoa; Chordata; Actinopteri; Cyprinodontiformes; Nothobranchiidae
Source: RefSeq, a predicted model, not a curated record
ACCAGACGUACAGUGUGAGCAGGUUGCAUGCGAGAACUGGGUCGUACAGUGUGAGCACAUGACUCGUGAGAUCUGCCCUGCGAGGAAGUCGUUCAGUUUGAGCUGAAGCGGAGUGCUACGAGUGAAAAAGUCACACAGUGUCCGCCCGGCUUUAAUGGAGCCAAAUGGACGGAUGCCUCCACCACCAUUCCGUGCUUCUUUCGUUCUUAGAGCAUUCAGGGAUGGUGCUCCCCCAGAGGUCUGCCCGGGUUUUACACCUAAGAGUAAAGAAGUUUGCACUAAAAGAUGCUGAUUGAACUUUUCAUUUGUUUUUUGGAAGAGAGCCUGUCACGAGCGUGCCGGUGAGCGAAGCGGUGAUCAGAUGAGGAUCCAAGCGCUGGACAGGAAGACAGGCAGACAGGUAAGACGUUUAAAGGUUUUAAUGAUUAACACGCUGGACAUGGGAACAUUGAGGCAACAAACUACAGAGAACUGAAGGGGGUUUAAAUACAGGAGGGCCGGGAGCUUGGGUGAUUGAGAAACAAGAGGCAGGUGGGAGCAAUUAAUGAAGACACAGGGCUGAACCAAACGGGGAGACAGGACAGGGUGUGACAGUACCAGCUCUAAAUGAGCAGCAGGGCAGUAGAAUAGCUGAUCCACUGGUCGCCAUCAUCACCAGUAACCAUCUGGAUCCUGCACCUCUGCUUUAACAACACCUGAAGUGGAAACAGCAAACAUCCAGGAAGUGGCUGAGCACAAACGGCCCGCGACAGGUUCUGCGUGAUUCCUAAGCUACUGAUGCUGUGUUCAUCAGUGACAGCUGUGGUAGAGCUCUGUAGACAACGAUGAUGGUUUAUGUUUGUUUCUAACUCUACGUAUACCUGGGGAGAACAUGCUAACCCCACAGAAAAGCUGGAGCCAGGAUUUGAACCUGCAACCUUCCUGCAGCGAGGCCACCAUGCAGCUUGUCUUCGUUCAUUACCGUAACAGAUUUUUACCUCAUGAGCACCUGGUGGGUGUGGGUUAGUUUACUGUAGUAAGUCUGGGGUUUAUUGUGGGAAUAAUCCAGUAAUUAAAAAAAAAACAGUUGUGUUUCUGACAGCAUCUUCACAGAGACUCAUCAGGUCAAAAGCAUCUGUGCUGCCCAGAGUCACAGUGAUGUCUCGGCAGGAUUUACUCACAGAAGCAGAAACGGCCAGCGAACAUCCCUGAAAACCAGUCGCUCCUCUGACAACUGAACUCUUUGAGGUUUGUUAGGACUCGGGGUCUAAUGAGGAAUCGUUGCCAAAACACAGGGAUUUAUUGCUAAAAGCAGACGGAUGCUGACAUCUGAUUGCCAACUGUUCCUAAUAACAGGAGACGGGCCAGACGGAUGCACAGAUCCAGGAAAUUCUUCAUGUUUUUCCCAACUAAUGCAGACAUGAGACAGAGGGCAAUUACAGCAAGGGCACGACAAUAAAAGAGUAGUCUGGCAUCCAACAGCUUGCUAGCACUGUGACAUCUGCCACUCGGCACUUUCACUUCGCCUGUCUGAAAAGUCGAUGUCAAAGUCGUCGUGCUUUCAAGAAUUAACAACCCAUCGUUACCGUCGGGAAUGGGACCCCCAACCUCGGGGAACAGAUUCUGAUACCAGAGCUCCGGAUCUCAGAAUGGAAACGUGUCGUGAUGCAGAAACACGAGUCUGUCACCUCUAAAGGUUCUCGCGGAGGCUCCAGCUGAUGCAGCGUCCUGGUGAGAGGGGAGAUCAGCUCGUCCCACUUCACCAUCACUUCACUGGUCCGUACUUAAUCUGAAGACAUUCCCAUCAGCAAGAGCCAAAGAGCUAAACCUCUAUGUUCCCAACCCUGGCUCUCAGACUGAAGGCUUGGUUCCCAGGAGGAUGUGUCUAUAGCAGCAAAACUAAAGGGAUGAGCCAGUACAACCCUCACAAAGAGAUUCAUGGAACAGGAACAUCUGGAGCUGGGUCUUUUGAGAGUUUGUCUCAUGAAUGGAUGAAUGACAGUUUGUCUCAUCUAACAACUAGCAUCUCAAAUUCUGCUCAGAUUGUUUAAAAUAGAGUUUGAGCUGUUUUGCUCUUGCUGAUGUUGAUUAUCUGUGGUGACCAUCUUGACUUGGGCUUGCACCAACGUUGAAGUCAGAGCUCCACUGUAGUCAUCUCUGAAAACCCACUUGAACAUUCCCAGUUUGUUUUCUAUAUUUAUGAUGGUUCUUGUGGUUCUCCGUUUGCAUUUUAAACAACGAUGCAACAAAUAUUUGACCGGUGACUUCCAGAUCCCGUUAAUCCAGUCCAUUGCUGUUUUCAGUCCUAAUUCCACCUCGUGUUGCAAAUCAUGUUUUAGAAUGUGUCGCAGUUGUUGGCCUUUAUUUAGUGUUGCAUGAAUAAAAAUGGCAGCUGAGCGUGAAAUUUUUACAUAAAAAGGAGGAGGAAGGAAGGGCCGCAGCAUUAAUGCUGCUGAUGAAAUCUGGGAAGCAAACGUCUCAAACAGGUAGAAAACACGCAGCUACAGUGGAACGGCGGUGCGAUUACACCACAGGCAUCGGAUGUGUUCGGUGUAAUCAGGCUAAGGCAGCGUGCUGCUGGUAGGAACAGAUCUGUGCCAUGGAGCUGAUCUGUAAUCAGGUCCUGCAGGUUUAUGAACAUGGUUGUCCCGCCGCCGUUCCCGGCUCCGGGAUUACAAAUGGAGCUCAGUCAGCAGCCCAGGGCCCCGCCCCCAACCCCUCAGAUGGCUUCCGUCUACAAUCUAACUCAAGUUCAUAAACCUGAUCUAUUAUUUUGUAUCUCAGCACGCAACUGAUGCACAGCUGAGAAACCACCAACUAAUCAACCUUUAAACCCUCACCUGUGCUGCAGAGCGGUGGGUUGGAGAUCAUAAAUACAAGCAACUCUCCUGGGAUUAGUGUUGGUGCACUUUGGCACCAACAGGAGUCAUGUCAACAACACGACCUUACGAGUGCAGCGCCACACGGACGCCAAGGCUGCACCAUUACAAAUCUAUGUUUAUAGGCUGGUGUUGGGGGUUGUGUUAAUGCCGUCCAUUAUGGAACAACCCAGAGACAUGGUGACCCUCUGACCUUUGCCUGUUGAUCAGGACAGCAAAGGUAAAACAUUAACAGAAGGAUAUUAAUGCAAGGGUUACAUUUUACAAAAAUAUUUAGAGAUAAAGUCCAAGUUCAACACAUCUGCUGUGGUCUCCAGUGGGAAUGAAAACAAAUGAGCUUAAAACUUUGUUCAUGCCUUUUAACAACAUUCUGACAUUAUCUAGCUAUAAAUAAAGUAUCCAUCCAUUUUCAUCCGCUUAUCUGGAGUCGGCUCGUAGGGGCAGCAGCCUAAGUCGAGAUGCCCAGACUUCCCUCUCUCCAGCCACUUGGGCCAGCUCCUCCAGGGGAAUCUCAAGGCGUUCCCUGGCCAGGCAAAAGACGUAGUCCCUCCACCGUGUCCUGGGUCUUCCU